RNAcentral lists this ribosomal RNA (393 nucleotides) under uncultured bacterium. RNAcentral describes it as "bacterial SSU rRNA". It matches the Rfam family "Bacterial small subunit ribosomal RNA", at positions 29 to 449 of the family's 1533-position model. The record is from RNAcentral.
AGCGAACGCUGGCGGCAGGCCUAACACAUGCAAGUCGAACGGAUCCUUCGGGAUUAGUGGCGGACGGGUGAGUAACACGUGGGAACGUGCCUUUUGGUUCGGAACAACUCAGGGAAACUUGAGCUAAUACCGGAUGUGCCCUUCGGGGGAAAGAUUUAUCGCUAUUAGAGCGGCCCGCGUCUGAUUAGCUAGUUGGUGGGGUAAAGGCCUACCAAGGCUACGAUCAGUAGCUGGUCUGAGAGGAUGAUCAGCCACAUUGGGACUGAGACACGGCCCAAACUCCUACGGGAGGCAGCAGUGGGGAAUCUUGCGCAAUGGGCGAAAGCCUGACGCAGCCAUGCCGCGUGAAUGAUGAAGGUCUUAGGAUUGUAAAAUUCUUUCACCGGGGACGAU